CUCUUUAGCUUGGCAUUUGAAUCGGCUUUGCUGUUGCGAAGUAGAGUGGCGGCUUCCGGCUGCCGAGGGGUCGAUCCAUUUGGGAAAUGUUGUGUACUUCGGUAUGCAUCUCAAUUGGACCCUGAUAUCAGGGCAAGAUUACCCGCUGAACUUAAGCAUAUUAAUAAGCGGAGGAAAAGAAACUAACAAGGAUUCCCCUAGUAACGGCGAGUGAAGCGGGAAGAGCUCAAGCUUAAAAUCUCCGUGCAAGUUUUGCGCGGCGAAUUGUAGUCUAUAGAGGCGUGAUCAGUGUGGGCGCUUGGGGCAAGUUCCUUGGAAGAGGACAGCAUGGAGGGUGAUACUCCCGUUCAUCCCUGAGUUGCUCGUGCGUACGAUCCGUUUUCUUUGAGUCGCGUUGUUUGGGAAUGCAGCGCAAAGUAGGUGGUAAAUUCCAUCUAAAGCUAAAUAUUGGUGCGAGACCGAUAGCGAACAAGUACCGUGAGGGAAAGAUGAAAAGAACUUUGAAAAGAGAGUUAAAGAGUACCUGAAACUGCUGAAAGGGAACCGAAUCGUUUCCAGUGUCUAUAAUCCGUGGUAUAUUUCAUUGGCGAGUGUGUGCGUGCGUGUGCUGUGGCAGCGGCUUUUUUGGCUGCGCUCGGCGUGUGUGCUGUGUGUGCUUGCUGGUGCCCUGUGCUGCGGUGGGACGUCAAGGUCAGUUCGUAUGCUGCGGGAAAUGGCCGCCGAGGAGGUAGGGCUUACGCUUGCGUUUGUCUGUUAUAUCUUGGUGGACGAGUAGUCGCGGUUGGGACUGAGGUGCCUACAACGUGUUUUUGAGUGGGCCUGUGUCUCUGUGUGCGCCGUGUGCGGAUAGCUUGCUAUGCGUGUGUGGUUGUGUGUGGAUUGAUGUGGGUUUUAACUUGUUGCCGUUCGGGACGUUGACGAAAUGGAGCGAUUUGACCCGUCUUGAAACACGGACCAAGGAGUCUAACAUGUGUGCAAGUGUUAGGGUGUGGAAACCCCAGCGCGAAAUGAAAGUGAAGGGCAGCGUAGUGUCUGAGUAGAAAUGCUGCGGGCUUCGGUCUGCGGUGUGGCACUAUCGACCGAUCAUGAACCUUCGUGUGAAAGAUUUGAGUUUGAGCACAUAUGUUGGUACCCGAAAGAUGGUGAACUAUGCCUGAGUAGGGUGAAGCCAGGGGAAACUCUGGUGGAAGCUCGUAGCGAUUCUGACGUGCAAAUCGAUCGUCAAACUUGGGUAUAGGGGCGAAAGACUAAUCGAACCAUCUAGUAGCUGGUUCCCUCCGAAAUUUCCCUCAGGAUAGCAGCAACUUAUUUACGAUAGUUUUAUGAGGUAAAGCGAAUGAUUAGAGGAUUCGGGGAAGAAACUUCCUCGACCUAUUCUCAAACUUUAAAUCUGUAAGACCUGCAGGUUUCUUAAUUGAACUUGUGGAUGUGAAUAUCAAGUUGCUAGUGGGCCAUACGGGGUAAGCUCGUCUGGCGAUGCGGGAUGAACCGAACGCAAAGUUAAAGUGCCAAAAUGCUCGCUCACCUAGAUACCAUAAAAGGUGUUGGUUCAUUUAGACAGCAGGACGGUGGCCAUGGAAGUCGGAAUCCGCUAAGGAGUGUGUAACAACUCACCUGCCGAAUGAACUAGCCCUGAAAAUGGAUGGCGCUAAAGCGGGCUACUUAUACUUUGCCGUUAGCGCGAUAGCAUUUAUAAUGUACGCGUUAAUGAGUAGGAGGGCGUGAAGGUCGUGAAGAAGCUCGUGGCGUGAGCCUGAGUGAAACGGCCUUUAGUGCAGAUCUUGGUGGUAGUAGCAAAUAUUCAAAUGCGAACUUUGAAGACUGAAGUGGAGAAAGGUUCCGUGUGAUCAGUAAUUGGACACGGGUGAGUCGAUCCUAAGAGAUAGGAUAAUUCCGUUUGAAAGCUGGGCUGUUUGAGGCGUGGGGUUCGUCCUUGCGUUUUGUAUGCAGCCUCGUGUAUCGAAAGGGAAUCAGGUUAAUAUUCCUGAACCGAGACGUGGAUAAUAUGUGUAACACAACCGACCCAGGAGACGCUAGCGUGUGCCCAGGGAAGAUUCUCUUUUCUUUU
Molecule: ribosomal RNA, 2068 nt
Organism: Phytophthora infestans T30-4
Lineage: Eukaryota; Oomycota; Peronosporomycetes; Peronosporales; Peronosporaceae
Source: RefSeq, a predicted model, not a curated record